RNAcentral lists this ribosomal RNA (674 nucleotides) under uncultured bacterium. RNAcentral describes it as "bacterial SSU rRNA". It matches the Rfam family "Bacterial small subunit ribosomal RNA", at positions 108 to 791 of the family's 1533-position model. The record is from RNAcentral.
CAGUAAUGCGUAGGUAACCUGCCCCCAGGUCCGGAAUAGCCGUCCUAACGGACGGGUAAUACCGGGAGACCCGCCGGGGGGACAUCCCCCUGUCGGCAAAGGUUUACCGCCUGGGGAGGGGCUUACGUGAUAUUAGCUAGUUGGUGGGGUAACGGCCCACCAAGGCCAAGAUGUCUAGCAGGUGUGAGAGCACGACCUGCGCCACUGGCACUGGGACACUGGCCAGACUCCUACGGGAGGCUGCAGUCGAGGAUCUUCGGCAAUGGGCGCAAGCCUGACCGAGCGACGCCGCGUGUGCGAUGAAGGCCUUCGGGUUGUAAAGCACUGUCGAGGGGGAGAAAGGCCGCAAGGCUUGAUCGACCCCUGGAGGAAGCACGGGCUAAGUUCGUGCCAGCAGCCGCGGUAAGACGAACCGUGCGAACGUUAUUCGGAAUCACUGGGCUUAAAGGGCGCGUAGGCGGGCCGCAUAGUCAGGGGUGAAAUCCUCCAGCUUAACUGGAGAAGUGCCUCUGAUACUGGCGGCCUCGAGGGGUGCAGGGGCGUGCGGAACUUAGGGUGGAGCGGUGAAAUGCGUAGAUAUCCUAAGGAACACCGGUGGCGAAGGCGGCACGCUGGACACCUUCUGACGCUGAGGCGCGAAAGCCAGGGGAGCAAACGGGAUUAGAUACCCCGGU